AGAGUUUGAUCAUGGCUCAGAGUGAACGCUGGCGGCGUGCUUAACACAUGCAAGUCGAACGAGAACGGAUUAUAGCUUGCUAUAAUUGUCAGCUAAGUGGCGCACGGGUGAGUAAUAUAUAGAUAACCUGCCCUCAAGAAAGGAAUAACAGUUGGAAACGACUGCUAAUGCCCUAUAUGCCUUUAAUACAUAAGUAUGCAAGGGAAACGCUUUAGUGCUUGAGGAUGGGUCUGUAUGGUAUCAGCUUGUUGGUGAGGUAAUGGCUCACCAAGGCUAUGACGCCUAACUGGUUUGAGAGGAUGAUCAGUCACACUGGAACUGAGACACGGUCCAGACUCCUACGGGAGGCAGCAGUGGGAAAUAUUGCACAAUGGACGAAAGUCUGAUGCAGCAACGCCGCGUGGAGGAUGACACAUUUCGGUGCGUAAACUCCUUUUAUAUAGGAAGAUAAUGACGGUACUAUAUGAAUAAGCACCGGCUAACUCCGUGCCAGCAGCCGCGGUAAUACGGAGGGUGCAAGCGUUACUCGGAAUCACUGGGCGUAAAGAGCGUGUAGGCGGGUAUAUAAGUCAGAAGUGAAAUCCUAUAGCUUAACUAUAGAACUGCUUUUGAAACUGUAUACCUAGAAUGUGGGAGAGGUAGAUGGAAUUUCUGGUGUAGGGGUAAAAUCCGUAGAGAUCAGAAGGAAUACCGAUUGCGAAGGCGACCUACUGGAACAUUAUUGACGCUGAGACGCGAAAGCGUGGGGAGCAAACAGGAUUAGAUACCCUGGUAGUCCACGCCCUAAACGAUGUACACUAGUUGUUGUGAGGCUCGACCUUGCAGUAAUGCAGUUAACACAU
Molecule: ribosomal RNA, 842 nt
Filed under: uncultured bacterium
Lineage: Bacteria
Description: bacterial SSU rRNA
Rfam family: Bacterial small subunit ribosomal RNA
Source: RNAcentral